GUGUGUGUGUGUGUGUAUGUAUAUAUGUGUGUGUGUGUGUGUGUAUAUAUAUAUAUAUAUACAUACAUACAUACAUACAUACAUACACUG
Molecule: non-coding RNA, 90 nt
Organism: Pelobates cultripes (western spadefoot toad)
Lineage: Eukaryota; Metazoa; Chordata; Amphibia; Anura; Pelobatidae
Source: the annotation of a GenBank genome assembly